RNAcentral lists this unclassified non-coding RNA (906 nucleotides) under Hevea brasiliensis (rubber tree). Lineage: Eukaryota; Viridiplantae; Streptophyta; Magnoliopsida; Malpighiales; Euphorbiaceae. The record is from RNAcentral.
UAGUAUUUUAUGAAAAAUAAUAAUGUUUAAGCUAAAAUUGGGUUUAAGCUCGCAUUAAGAACAAACUAAUCAAACAUCAGAUUCAUGAUGCCCACUGCACAGCUUGACUAUGGCCUCACCAAUUAAACAAGAAUGUUGCAGAAAACAACUGUACAAUUUGAAAAAAAAUUCCAAUACCUAAAAUAUUGAAUGCUCAUUUCCUGUCGUUCUUGCUCAUUUUCUUCUUUUGCUUCUUGUAUUCGUCAUAUAAUUGUAGGGCUAACGUAGUACGCUCUAAUUCGCUCCUUAGUCUCCCAUUCUCUUUGAAAUCACGGAGGAGCACAAAAUGAUCAGAAAGUUUCUUUUUCAACUCGUCUUCAUCAGCUGAACUUGUAUCUAGAGAACUAUCAAUGCCACCAGUCAUUUUAGAAGACCCUUUUUUCCUCUUGCUAUUUGAUUUUCUAAUGUCGUAUUUUGGGUUGAGCAACUCCCUUUCGAGGGACAAGUCUGUAAAAGCUUGCUGAGGAGAUAUUGAGGAAAGAUAAACUUGGUUAUGAGAAGUGCUCAUGCUUGAAAUGCUUGAAGCCAUCGUUGAAACAGCUGGAUGGUAAUGCUUGCAGAGAAGAUUGAGUUCCCAGAGGACUGAGGCAAGUGCCCCACUUAAAUUAGGAUCUGAGGCAUACGGCUGAUAUUUCGCAACAAAACCAGAAACUGAGCCACCCCCUGCAUCAUUUUCCAAUAGAUUCCGGCAUUUGACAUUCUUCUGGAGGAGAUACUUCAAAGUUACCAAAGCAGCCAUGGAUUCAGCUGAUCCAAAGCACAGUGAGAAUGUGGCCAAACGUUUUACAAAUGCAGCAGCCUUUUGCAUAUCAUGCUGUCUGUCUUCACAUAACAUAACCUUCAAAGCUUCUGCUAAUACUUCACCCU